This 597-nucleotide ribosomal RNA is filed under the name Caldibacillus thermoamylovorans. RNAcentral describes it as "bacterial SSU rRNA". It matches the Rfam family "Bacterial small subunit ribosomal RNA", at positions 364 to 952 of the family's 1533-position model. Lineage: Bacteria; Bacillati; Bacillota; Bacilli; Caryophanales; Bacillaceae. The record is from RNAcentral.
UUCCGCAAUGGACGAAAGUCUGACGGAGCAACGCCGCGUGAGCGAAGAAGGUCUUCGGAUCGUAAAGCUCUGUUGUUAGGGAAGAACAAGUACCGGAGGGAAUGCCGGUACCUUGACGGUACCUGACGAGAAAGCCACGGCUAACUACGUGCCAGCAGCCGCGGUAAUACGUAGGUGGCAAGCGUUGUCCGGAUUUAUUGGGCGUAAAGCGCGCGCAGGCGGUCCUUUAAGUCUGAUGUGAAAUCUUGCGGCUCAACCGCAAGCGGUCAUUGGAAACUGGGGGACUUGAGUGCAGAAGAGGAAAGCGGAAUUCCACGUGUAGCGGUGAAAUGCGUAGAGAUGUGGAGGAACACCAGUGGCGAAGGCGGCUUUCUGGUCUGUAACUGACGCUGAGGCGCGAAAGCGUGGGGAGCAAACAGGAUUAGAUACCCUGGUAGUCCACGCCGUAAACGAUGAGUGCUAAGUGUUGGAGGGUUUCCGCCCUUCAGUGCUGCAGCUAACGCAUUAAGCACUCCGCCUGGGGAGUACGGUCGCAAGACUGAAACUCAAAGGAAUUGACGGGGGCCCGCACAAGCGGUGGANCAUGUGGUUUAAUUC